RNAcentral lists this long non-coding RNA (215 nucleotides) under Fukomys damarensis (Damara mole-rat). RNAcentral's name for it is "lncRNA (ENSFDAG00000030189.1)". Lineage: Eukaryota; Metazoa; Chordata; Mammalia; Rodentia; Bathyergidae. The record is from RNAcentral.
GGUUCCUGAGCAGCUGCGGGCGUCCUGUGGCCAGCCGGAGGGGACCUGUCUAAUCUCAGGACAGCUAGUUCUGAAGAAGGCCCAAGCGGGCGCCAGCCCAGGAACUCUGAGCUGCUGAGGGAGCACGUCCAGCCAAGCAGGCAGCAUGUGGUAAGAAGUUCACAGCGGGCAUAGCUGGGCCUCACUUCCUGACUGGACAGGGGCUGGUGGGAUAC